RNAcentral lists this small nuclear RNA (295 nucleotides) under Peromyscus maniculatus bairdii (prairie deer mouse). RNAcentral's name for it is "7SK RNA (ENSPEMG00000003095.2)". It matches the Rfam family "7SK RNA". From Rfam's summary of the family: 7SK was discovered as an abundant small nuclear RNA in the mid-70s but a possible function has only recently been suggested. Two independent studies have found that 7SK RNA binds the CDK9/cyclin T complex (known as elongation factor P-TEFb). Lineage: Eukaryota; Metazoa; Chordata; Mammalia; Rodentia; Cricetidae. The record is from Rfam by way of RNAcentral.
GGAUGUGACGGUGAUCUGAAUGUGACACCUGUCACCCCAUGGAUCACGGGGCUGAUGCAGCUGAUCUGGAUGGCUAGGCGGGUGUCCCCUUCCUCUCUCUCCCCUCCACGUGUCUGCCUCUCAAAGCUACAUGCCAGGCUGAAGAGGAUGACCUUCCCUGAAGAGAAGAGGACCAGCCUUUGGUCAAGGGUCUAUGAGAAGUUACACUCCAUGGUUACAGCCUCCAAACACGCUCUCAAGAAAGAGCAGUGUCAAUCAAUUAAGUAUUGAUUGGAAGUUUGGCCGAUCUAUAUAU